AUGCCGUGCGAGGACCCUCUGGACCUCUUCCUCGCCCGCGUGGCCGACACGCCGCAUGCUCCAUUGCUCCCUACCCCGGUGACCCGCAAGGGCAGGGGCGGCAUGUCGGUCGCCGCCACUUGGCGUAGUGCGCGGCUGGACAAAAAGAAGGCCAAGGCCCCGCCCGGUUCCGGCUCGGAGGUGGUCCAGGAGCUCAUCGCAAGGGUCUACGGCGUUCUGGACCCGUCCGUUUCCUACGAUGACAAGGCCAAGCAAGCCUACCUCGACCUGUUCUCUACUCCACUUGCAGCCCUGGUGGUCCGGGCGAUCGCUAGGAUGGUGGCGCACGCCAAGAGCAUCUCGCAGAAGAAGGGAAAGAAGAGCAAGAAGGCCACCCUGGAGCUUGCAAACGUGGUUGCCCAAGCCUAUGUUGAGUAA
This 417-nucleotide ribosomal RNA is filed under the name Triticum aestivum (bread wheat). RNAcentral's name for it is "partial small subunit ribosomal RNA". The record is from RNAcentral. Lineage: Eukaryota; Viridiplantae; Streptophyta; Magnoliopsida; Poales; Poaceae.